GUGGGGAAUCUUCCGCAAUGGACGAAAGUCUGACGGAGCAACGCCGCGUGAGUGAAGAAGGUUUUCGGAUCGUAAAGCUCUUUCGUUAGGGACGAACGUGCUCUUUGUGAAUAAUGAGGAGUAAUGACGGUACCUAAAUAAGAAGCCACGGCUAACUACGUGCCAGCAGCCGCGGUAAUACGUAGGUGGCAAGCGUUGUCCGGAAUUAUGGGGCGUAAAGCGCGCGCAGGCGGGAUAUCAAGUCUGUCUUAAAAGUGCGAGGCUCAACCACGUGAUGAGACAGAAACUGGUAUUCUUGAGUGUCGGAGAGGAAAGUGGAAUUCCAAGUGUAGCGGUGAAAUGCGUAGAGAUUUGGAAGAACACCAGUGGCGAAGGCGACUUUCUGGACGAUGUCUGACGCUGAGGCUCGAAAGCUAGGGGAGCGAACGGGAUUAGAUACCCCAGUAGUCC
RNAcentral lists this ribosomal RNA (450 nucleotides) under uncultured bacterium. RNAcentral's name for it is "partial 16S ribosomal RNA". It matches the Rfam family "Bacterial small subunit ribosomal RNA", at positions 354 to 796 of the family's 1533-position model. The record is from RNAcentral.